RNAcentral lists this ribosomal RNA (748 nucleotides) under Colletotrichum sp. Its description in RNAcentral is "partial large subunit ribosomal RNA". It matches the Rfam family "Eukaryotic large subunit ribosomal RNA", at positions 88 to 867 of the family's 3401-position model. Lineage: Eukaryota; Fungi; Ascomycota; Sordariomycetes; Glomerellales; Glomerellaceae. The record is from RNAcentral.
GGCGAGUGAAGCGGCAACAGCUCAAAUUUGAAAUCUGGCCCUAGGCCCGAGUUGUAAUUUGCAGAGGAUGCUUUUGGUGCGGUGCCUUCCAAGUUCCCUAGAACGGGACGCCAGAGAGGGUGAGAGCCCCGUACAGUUGGACACCAAGCCUUUGUAAAGCUCCUUCGACGAGUCGAGUAGUUUGGGAAUGCUGCUCAAAAUGGGAGGUAUAUUUCUUCUAAAGCUAAAUACCGGCCAGAGACCGAUAGCGCACAAGUAGAGUGAUCGAAAGAUGAAAAGCACUUUGAAAAGAGGGUUAAACAGCACGUGAAAUUGUUAAAAGGGAAGCGCUUGUGACCAGACUUGCGUCCGGUGAAUCACCCAGCUCUCGCGGCUGGGGCACUUCGCCGGCUCAGGCCAGCAUCAGCUCGCUGUCGGGGACAAAAGCUUCAGGAACGUAGCUCUCUUCGGGGAGUGUUAUAGCCUGUUGCAUAAUACCCUUCGGCGGGCUGAGGUACGCGCUCCGCAAGGAUGCUGGCAUAAUGGUCAUCAGCGACCCGUCUUGAAACACGGACCAAGGAGUCAACCUUAUGUGCGAGUGUUCGGGUGUCAAACCCCUACGCGUAAUGAAAGUGAACGCAGGUGAGAGCUUCGGCGCAUCAUCGACCGAUCCUGAUGUUCUCGGAUGGAUUUGAGUAAGAGCAUAUAGGGUUGGACCCGAAAGAAGGUGAACUAUGCGUGUAUAGGGUGAAGCCAGAGGAAACUCUGG